CACGGGCUCUUUCUGCCGCUGUAGAAGGGAAAUCCCCUUUUAGUCCCGAGAAGGAUUCAAAUACAUCAGUCCUAACUAGAAGCCAAGAGUCCGACUCGUAUCAGUGCAAAGGAACAGAGAUGUUUCUUUAUUAAUAAUGCUCACAUUCGAGCAAGGAUACUACAAAAAGAAAAAAAGAAUUACAAAGAUGACAGGAGAAAGCCUAAGAAGUCUAAACUUCAAGCUCGGCCCACCUCCUGGCUCGGCGC
RNAcentral lists this long non-coding RNA (248 nucleotides) under Brachypodium distachyon (stiff brome). RNAcentral's name for it is "long non-coding RNA (BDIS_LNC005492)". The record is from RNAcentral. Lineage: Eukaryota; Viridiplantae; Streptophyta; Magnoliopsida; Poales; Poaceae.